UACGAAGGGGACUAGCGUUGUUCGGAUUUACUGGGCGUAAAGCGUGCGCAGGCGGUUUGCUAAGACAGGUGUGAAAUCCCCGGGCUUAACCUGGGAACUGCGCUUGUAACUGGCAAGCUUGAGUGUGGCAGAGGGGGGUGGAAUUCCACGUGUAGCAGUGAAAUGCGUAGAGAUGUGGAGGAACACCGAUGGCGAAGGCAGCCCCCUGGGCUAACACUGACGCUCAUGCACGAAAGCGUGGGGAGCAAACAGG
RNAcentral lists this ribosomal RNA (253 nucleotides) under uncultured bacterium. RNAcentral describes it as "partial 16S ribosomal RNA". It matches the Rfam family "Bacterial small subunit ribosomal RNA", at positions 524 to 776 of the family's 1533-position model. The record is from RNAcentral.